CCACAAAUACAAAGUUCCUCUGUCCACUUGGACAGAGUCUCCUUUGUAUUUGCACGGCGUACCAGCUAUACAACAGGAUCUCAACCACAACCUACAUUUACCAAUCAACAACCAAAGCAUGAUAUGCAUUUUCAUACAGUUAACAAUCCUUAGAAUGAUGCAUGCCUCUAAGCACUCCUUAGGCGCUGGAUGAUGCAAUGCACAAUACAACAAACAUCCUAUUUAAAAGUGCUCCCCACACGGAAGCUUUUGUUUUUAAACUCUAAUUCAUUCAUUCAUAAAAACCAUUCGAAAACCUUUUUAAAACUGUUUCCCACACGGAAACUCUAUUUUGAAAACCGACUACCUCGAGGGGUAGAAAACCACGAUGCAUAACUACAAGAAAACCAAAUCUCCACAGAACCAAAACCACAGAUCGAAAACUCCAAUCUCAUGUAUAAAAGAAACCAACACCACAAUUCACAUACAUUCAAGCAUACAUAAGAUCAGCUAACUGAACCAUUAUUAAGAAAACUACUAAGUGCGGAAAAGAGAUAACCAGGGUGACGGUCACUACUGCCGUCUAGCUA
RNAcentral lists this long non-coding RNA (569 nucleotides) under Ananas comosus (pineapple). Its description in RNAcentral is "long non-coding RNA (ACOM_LNC020071)". The record is from RNAcentral. Lineage: Eukaryota; Viridiplantae; Streptophyta; Magnoliopsida; Poales; Bromeliaceae.